CACAAGUAUAUAUAGAUUAUAUACAAUGGACAAUCGAGCUAUUGGACAAUAUCACAUUACAAUUACACAAGGACCUUAAGAGACAUACAUACACUUACAAUUCUAACAGCUGUUUUGUUAGUAGAGUAUUUAACUGUCUUAAAAUACAGUUAAAUUUAUUUUAGUCGACUUUGCGAGUGUAAAAUUAGGUUCGCUCCGGGGGCCUGAAACUCCCCAUAAUUCAAUUCGCGACGAUUGUACAUCCGCUAAGAAAAGUCAGAGAAAACAUAUCAAUGGAGAAGUCAACAUACAAGUAGAAUUUGGCAGCACGUCCAAACGGCCUCACAGCAGCAGACCACAUGUCAACACGCCAGCCCAGGACCUCCACAUCCGGCUUCUUCACCUGCGGGAUCGUCUGAAACCAACCACCCGGACAGCUGAUGGAACUGGUCUUGACCUGAAUGCAGCAUCGGCAUCGUAACCGACUUUGGUGGGAAAAUACUCAAAUUCGAUGGCCACUGGCAUACUGGAAAAGUGUACUAAUCACAGAUGAAUCCCGAUUUCAACUGUACCAGGCAGAUGGCAGACUGACGUAAACACUGAUCAGAGUGCCCCGUGAUGGUGGUGGGGAUAUGGUGAACGCCAGAAGCAGUACACCAUCGAUGUGAGCUGGGAGAAGCGAGGCUGUAGAGCCGGAGACGAGGCGAGAACGAGGGCUGUUGUUGGAGCAGACCGGGACCAGUGUUGAAAUGGAGAGAAAAGGCCUUUAUGGGAAUUGGGAGGGUGAACGCUAACCCUUCUCAAAGCUAAGUACCUCUUUAUAUCCAAUUUUAACUUAGUGCCAGAGAGCUGUAUUCCAACAUUCUCUACUGUGUUGCGUGCUACGCACUCAUUAAUGCCAGUGUGCCUGUGGAUUGAGACUAUAGCUGCAGUGUGACCUGACCGGAGGAGGAACUACGAAUCAACUGUGGAUCAGAUUGACGGCUGCUGGUGAGCGAGAAGAAACGGAGAGGAGGCCUUUGGGAAAUUGGGAGGGUGAACGCUUCACCCUGCCCAAAGCUAAGUACCUCUUCAUAUUCCAUUUCCAACAUUUCACCUGCUAGCAGUGCCUGCCGACGUUCUCUACUGCUUUGUGUGCUACGCGCGUGUUAAUGCCAGUGCAUACACUGUGAACCAGAGAGGAGGCUUGGAACACUGGCUUGGAUCCCUCAGUGUCCCUGCUGUGUUGGGACCACAGAUCACUAAGGGCUAUUAAAAUAGGACUUUUGCAUUUUAUAUUUUUGGACUUGUCCACUUCGGACUUAGCCAUUGUUAAAUAAAUAGUGUAGAACACCCUUGUGUGUUUGGAAGGUCUACAUAUCUUAACCAAUCAUUCAUACAAAUGCAAUAACUGACUUAUAUUCACUUGUCUAUUGUCCCAUUCUUCAAUCUAGUCUUUGAUAUAUAUUUUAGUUGAUACACCUGUGUGAGGUGUCUAAUAUACAUGAAUUCAAAUGUAUUCACCCUGGACAUGAGACUUUACAACUUUUGAAUCAUUAACUAAGUGUUGUCUUCAAAUGUUAUUGGUCACAUACACAUUUAGCAGAUGUUAUUGAGGGUGUAGCGAAAUGUUUGGGUUUUUCUUUAGUUUGCAUCUUUUCGGGCAAAUUUAGUGGCCGCUCAUGUUUGGUGUCUUAGGUUCCAAUUGUUGUUGCUAGUCAACUUUCAGUGGACACCCCAAUGAGUGUCUUUCAGAACUCUUCCUAAAACCCCAUUUGUUUUGCUUUGGUUGUUGGUCAGUGACUGUUAGUUCCUUCUUCUGUUUGAGCUACAUUUUUGGUUUUCUUGCUGUGGAACGUAACAAAAUGGGGGCUCGUCCGGGACUCUGAAGCUCUGUGCCCAGAUAUUUGAGUGUUCAAAAUACACUUUUGUGGUAGAAUUUCUGUUACUGACCUCCACCUUGAGAGGUUAUAAGAUUGGUGGGAUCAUUUUGAAAGUUGCAUGAACACAAGAUAAUAAAAUUAAAAUAAAGCCAUGGACUUUAAGUUGGAAAACCCUACAUUGGAGAUGCUAGAUAAAUGUACAAAUGCAAAUCUGCUCGUCAUUGCAAAGCAUUAUGUCAUCAAAGUGGCAUCUGGCAAUCCAACAGCGGUAGUCAGAGUUGAUUGGUAUUACUUUGGUAGAGGAGGAAAUCCUUCAGGAGAAGGAAGUUGAUGAAAUGGGUCCCACAGGUGGUAGAGUACACCUCAUAGAUGUGCAACUGCGAGAGGUAGAACUAAAGGCAAAAUGGGAACAACAGACAGAGCUUGAGCUUUAUAGAAAAUAUGUAAUUGAACUAAUAUUGUAUUACCUUUUAAUGUGUCAAUGAACACAAACAGUCUUGAUUUCGUCUGAUUGUCAAACAAAUCCCUUCAAAAAGUAGGUUAAUUGCACACUUCAAAAUAAGUCCAGCAUCUGAACAGUGCACUGUGCACAUGCCAUUUGAAUGGAAAAGGACAUCUAUUACAAACACCAUACGUGUAAUGACAUUCAGCCUACAAAGUGUCAUGUAUUAAUGGAUUCCAAGGGAAGCCAGUCUUCCACAAAAAAAUGUUAACAAUAAAAAAAGAAACAAACUUAUAAAAGGUUUGUAACUUGUUGUGGGAAGCUUGUGGAAGGCUACCCGAAACGUUUGACCCAAGUUAAGCAAUGCAAAGGAAAUACUCUCAAUUAUUAUUUGAUAGCAUGUAAACUUCUGGCCCACUGGGAAUGUGAAUAAAGAAAUAAAAGCUGAAAUAAAUCAUUCUCUCUACUAUUAUUCUGACAUUUCACAUUCUUAAAAUAAAGUGGUGAUCCUAACGGACCCAAAACCGGGAUUUACUAGGAUUAACUAAUGUCUGGAAUUGUGAAAAACGGAGUUUAAAUGGAUUUGGCUAAGGUGUAUGUAAACUUCCGAUUUCAACUGUAUAUUUUUCGUAGCCGUCUAUUUACCAACACAAACCGCACUCAAGGAAUUGUAUAAGGCCAUAAGCAAACAGGAAAACGCUCAUCCAGAGGAGGCGCUCCGAGUGGCCGGGGAAUUUAAUGCAGGGAAACUCAAAUCUGUUUUACCUCAUUUCUACCAGAAUGUUAAAGGUGCAACCAGAGGGGAAAAAAAAACUCAAGACCACCUUUACUCCACGCACAGAGAUGCAUACAAAGCUCUCCCUUCAUUUGGCAAAUCUGACCAUAAUUCUAUCCUACUGAUUCCUGCUUACAAGCAUAAACUAAAGCAGGAAGCACCAGUGACUUGGUCAAUAAGAAAGUUGUAAGAUGAAGCAGAUGCUAAGCUACAGUUUUGUUAGCACAGACUGGUAUAUGUUCCGGGAUUCUUCUGAUGGCAUUGAGGAGUACACCACAUCAGCCACUUGCUUCAUCAAUAAGUGCAUCGAUGAUGUCGUCCCCAUGGUGACUGUACGUACAUAUCCCAAUCAGAAGCCAUGGAUUACAGGCAACGCGGGACUCUAACCCAGAAGCUUAUAUAAAAUUCCAGUAUACCAUCAAACAGGCAAAGCGUCAAUACAGGACUAAGAUUGAAUCGUACUACACCAGCUCAGACGCUCGUCGGAUAUGGCAGGGCUUGCAAAAUAUUACAGACUACAAAGGGAAGCGCUUGCUUCGAGGCAAGUAACACUGUAGCAUGCAUGAGAGCAUCAGCUGUUCCGGACAACUGUGUGAUCACGCUCUCAGUAGCCGAUGUGAGUAAGACCUUUAAACAGGUCAACAUUCACAAGGCCGCAGGGCCAGACAAAUUACCAGGACGUGUACUCCGAGCAUGCGCUGACCAACUGGCAAGUGUCUUCACUGACAUUUUCAACCUGUUGCUGACUGAGUCUGUAAUGCCAACAUGUUUUAAACAGAUUACCAUAGUCCCUGUGGCCAAGAACUCUUAAGGUAAUCUGCCUAAAUGACUACCGACCCGUAACACUCACGUCUGUAGCCAUGAAGUGCUUUGAAAGGCUGGUCAUGGCUCACAUCAACACCAUUAUCCCAAAAACCCUAGACCCACUCCAAUUCACAUACUGCCCCAACAGAUCCACAGAUGAUGCAAUCUCUAUUGCACUCAACACUGCCCUUUCCCACCUGGACAAAAGGAACACCUAUGUGAGAAUGCUAUUCAUUGACUACAGCUCAGCGUGCAACACCAUAGUGCCCUCAAAGCUGACCACUAAGAUAAGGACCGUGGGACUAAACACCUCCCUCUGCAACUGGAUCCUGGACUUCCUGACGGGCCUCCUCCAGGUGGUAAGGGUAGGUAACUGCCGCGCUGAUCCUCAAUAUGGGGGCCCCAUUAGGGGUGCUUGCUCAGUCCCCUCCUGUACUCCCUGCUCACUCAUGACUGCAUGGUCAGCCACGACUCCAACACCAUCAUCAAGUUUCCCAAUGACACAACAGUGGUAGGCCUGAUCACCAACAACAAUGAAACAGCCCAUGGGGAGGAGGUCAGAGACCUGGCCGUGUGGUGCCAGGACAACAACCUCUCCCUCAACGUGAUCAAGACAAAGGAGAUGAUUGUGGACUACAGGAAAAGGAGGACUGAGCACGCCCCCAUUCUCAUUGACAGGGCUGCAGUGGAGCAGGUUGAAAGCGUCUUGUUCCUUGGUGUCCGCAUCACCAACAAACUAUCAUGGUCCAAACACACCAAGACAGUCGUGAAGAGGGCAUGACAAAGCCUAUUCCCCCUCAGGAGACUGAAAAUUUGGCAUGGGUCCUCAGAUCCUCAAAAGGUUCUUCAGCUGCACCAUCCUGACUGGUUGCAUCACUGCCUGGUAUGGCAACUGCUCACCCUCUGACGGCAAGGCAGUACAGAGGGUAGUGCGUACGGCCCAGUACAUCACUGGGGCCAAGCUCCCUGUCAUUCAGGACCUCUAUACCAUGUGGCGUCAGAGGAAGGCCCUAAACAUUGUCAAAGACUCCUGCCACCCUAGUCAUGGACUGUUUUCUCUGCUACCGCACGGCAAGCGGCUUCUUAACAGCUUCUACCCCCAAGCCAUAAGACUCCUGAACAGCUAAUCAAAGGGCUACCCAGACCCUUCUUUUACAUUGCUGCUACUCUUUGUUUAUUAUCUAUGCAUAGUCACUUUAACUCUGCCUGCAUGUACAUAUUUCCUCAAUUACCUUGACUAACCGGUGCCCCCGCACAUUGACUGUAACGGUACCCUCUGUAUAUAGCCUCGUUAUUGUUAUUUUACUGCUGCUGUUUAAUUAUUUGUUAGUUUUACUUUCUAUUUUUUACUUAACACUUUUUUUUUCUCUUAAAGCAUUGUUGUUUAAGUAAGUAAGCAUUUCACUGUAAGGUCUACUACACCUAUUGUAUUUGGUGCAUGUGACAAAUACCAUUUGAUUUGAUAAAGUACAACUUCAAUUUAUAUAUAAAUGCCUUGAAUAUUUAAAUUUUGGAGAAUCUCUUAUACAAUGGGUUAAAGUUAUGUACUGUAUCGGCAUAUCUAUUUAUAAUGGUCAUCGAAACGUUGGCUAUUAAAGUCAGAUCCAACAAUAAUACCAAGGGGCAAGAAAUCUAAGGCUUGAAAGCAAAGGUAUCAUUGUACACAGACGACUCAUGUUUUCUUUUAAAUCCGCAAUCUGGAUCCUUGCACAGACUCAGAGGAUCUAGAUCAUUUCUCUAACCUCUGGAUUCCACCAAACUAUGAUAAGUGUACUAUAUUGGAUCGCAAAAUAAUACAAAUUUUACAUUACCGUGUAGUUUACCAAUAAAGUAGACAUAUUCGGUAUUCAUAUCUUGAAGUAAAUAAAUUCUCACUACAAUAAAUGUUAAUAUAAAGUUAGUAAAAAUAGAUAAGAUCUUGCUACCAUGGAUAUCUACAGUUGAAGUCGGCGGUUUACAUACACCUUAGCCAAAUACAUUUAAACUCAGUUUUUCACAAUUCCUGACAUUUAAUCCUAGUAAAACAUUCCCUGUCUUAGGUCAGUUAGGAUCACCACUUUAUUUCAGCUUUUAUUUCUUUCAUCACAUUCCCAGUGGGUCAGAAGUUUACAUACACUCAAUUAGUAUUUGGUAGCAUUGCCUUUAAA
Oncorhynchus keta (chum salmon) is the source of this 6009-nucleotide long non-coding RNA. RefSeq lists it as uncharacterized. The record is from RefSeq and is a predicted model, not a curated record. The transcript has 4 exons. NCBI's taxonomy places the organism in Eukaryota, Metazoa, Chordata, Actinopteri, Salmoniformes, Salmonidae.